GAUGAACGCUAGCGGGAGGCCUAACACAUGCAAGCCGAGCGGUAGAAUAUCUUCGGAUAUUUGAGAGCGGCGUACGGGUGAGGAACACGUGUGCAACCUGCCUUUAUCUGGGAGAUAGCCUUUCGAAAGAAAGAUUAAUAUCCCAUAAUAUAUUGAAUGGCAUCAUUUAAUAUUGAAAGCUCCGGCGGAUAGAGAUGGGCACGCGCAAGAUUAGAUAGUUGGUGAGGUAACGGCUCACCAAGUCUACGAUCUUUAGGGGGCCUGAGAGGGUGAUCCCCCACACUGGUACUGAGACACGGACCAG
Molecule: ribosomal RNA, 304 nt
Filed under: uncultured bacterium
Lineage: Bacteria
Description: bacterial SSU rRNA
Rfam family: Bacterial small subunit ribosomal RNA
Source: RNAcentral